RNAcentral lists this ribosomal RNA (465 nucleotides) under uncultured bacterium. RNAcentral's name for it is "partial 16S ribosomal RNA". It matches the Rfam family "Bacterial small subunit ribosomal RNA", at positions 338 to 795 of the family's 1533-position model. The record is from RNAcentral.
CCUACGGGGGGCAGCAGUGGGGAAUAUUGCACAAUGGGGGAAACCCUGAUGCAGCAACGCCGCGUGGGUGAAGAAGGUCUUCGGAUCGUAAAACCCUGUUGUUAGAGAAGAAAGUGCGUGAGAGUAACUGUUCACGUUUCGACGGUAUCUAACCAGAAAGCCACGGCUAACUACGUGCCAGCAGCCGCGGGAAUACGUAGGUGGCAAGCGUUAUCCGGAUUUAUUGGGGGUAAAGGGAACGCAGGCGGUCUUUUAAGUCUGAUGUGAAAGCCUUCGGCUUAACCGGAGUAGUGCAUUGGAAACUGGGAGACUUGAGUGCAGAAGAGGAGAGUGGAACUCCAUGUGUAGCGGUGAAAUGCGUAGAUAUAUGGAAGAACACCAGUGGCGAAGGCGGCUCUCUGGUCUGUAACUGACGCUGAGGUUCGAAAGCGUGGGUAGCAAACAGGAUUAGAUACCCUUGUAGUC